RNAcentral lists this ribosomal RNA (991 nucleotides) under uncultured organism. RNAcentral's name for it is "bacterial SSU rRNA". It matches the Rfam family "Bacterial small subunit ribosomal RNA", at positions 468 to 1471 of the family's 1533-position model. The record is from RNAcentral.
AAGGACGGUACCCCUGGAACAAGUGUCGGCUAACUACGUGCCAGCAGCCGCGGUAAGACGUAGGACACAAGCGUUAUCCGGAUUUACUGGGCGUAAAGCGUCUGCAGGCGGACAGGUAAGUUGGGCGUGAAAGCUCCGGGCCCAACCCGGAGAGGUCGUUCAAUACUGCGUGUCUAGAGGGUGUCAGAGGGGAGUGGAAUUUCCGGAGUAGCGGUAAAAUGCGCAGAGAUCGGAAAGAACACCAAUGGCGAAGGCAGCUCCCUGGGGCACACCUGACGCUGAGAGACGAAAGCUAGGGGAGCGAACAGGAUUAGAGACCCUGGUAGUCCUAGCCCUAAACGAUGAAUGCUAGGUGUGGGAUCGAAUGGUUCCGUGCCGGAGCGAACGCGAUAAGCAUUCCGCCUGGGGAGUACGGCCGCAAGGUUAAAACUCAAACGAAUUGACGGGGCCCCGCACAAGCAGCGGAGCGUGUGGUUUAAUUCGAUGCUACACGAAGAACCUUACCUGGGUUUGACAUGUAGGUGGUAGUGAAUCGAAAGGUGAACGACCCUUCGGGGAGCCUACACAGGUGCUGCAUGGCUGUCGUCAGCUCGUGCCGUGAGGUGUCGGGUUAAGUCCCGUAACGAGCGCAACCCUUGCUCCUAGUUACAAGUGUCUAGGGGGACUGCCGGCGGAAAGCCGGAGGAAGGUGGGGAUGACGUCAAGUCAGCAUGGCCCUUAUAUCCAGGGCUACACACACGCUACAAUGGUCGGUACAAAGGGCAGCGAAACCGCGAGGCGGAGCGAAUCCGAGAAAAGCCGAUCGUAGUUCGGAUAGCAGGCUGCAACCCGCCUGCUUGAAGCUGGAGUUGCUAGUAACCGCGCGUCAGCCAUAGCGCGGUGAUACGUUCCCGGGGCUUGUACACACCGCCCGUCACGUCAUGGGAGUCGGUAACGCCUGAAGCCGGUAGUCUAACUGGAAAUCAGGAGACGCUGUCGAGGGCGGGACUGG